AACGAACGCUGGCGGCAUGCCUAACACAUGCAAGUCGAACGAGACCUUCGGGUCUAGUGGCGCACGGGUGCGUAACGCGUGGGAACCUGCCCUUAGGUUCGGAAUAACCCCCCGAAAGGGGUGCUAAUACCGGAUAAUGUCUUCGGACCAAAGAUUUAUCGCCUUUGGAUGGGCCCGCGUUGGAUUAGCUAGUUGGUAGGGUAAAAGCCUACCAAGGCGACGAUCCAUAGCUGGUCUGAGAGGAUGAUCAGCCACACUGGGACUGAGACACGGCCCAGACUCCUACGGGAGGCAGCAGUGGGGGAGAUUGGACAAUCAGCGAAAGCCUGAUCCCGCAAUGCCGCGUUAGUGAUGAAGGCCUUAGGGUUGUAAAGCUCUUUUACCCGGGAUGAUAAUGACAGUACCGGGAGAAUAAGCUCCGGCUAACUCCGUG
RNAcentral lists this ribosomal RNA (433 nucleotides) under uncultured bacterium. RNAcentral's name for it is "partial 16S ribosomal RNA". It matches the Rfam family "Bacterial small subunit ribosomal RNA", at positions 29 to 507 of the family's 1533-position model. The record is from RNAcentral.